Molecule: ribosomal RNA, 283 nt
Filed under: uncultured bacterium
Lineage: Bacteria
Description: partial 16S ribosomal RNA
Rfam family: Bacterial small subunit ribosomal RNA
Source: RNAcentral
AUGCGCAGGAAUCUACCUAGUAGUACGGAAUAGCCAUUAGAAAUGGUGGGUAAUACUGUAUAAUCCCCGAGGGGGAAAGAUUUAUCGCUAUUAGAUGAGCCUACGUUAGAUUAGCUAGUUGGUGAGGUAAUGGCUUACCAAGGCUAUGAUCUAUAGCUGGUCUGAGAGGACGAUCAGCCACACUGGAACUGAGAUACGGUCCAGACUCCUACGGGAGGCAGCAGUGGGGAAUAUUGGACAACGGGGCGAAAGCCUGAUCCAGCUAUGCCGCGUGAGUGAAGAA